This 450-nucleotide ribosomal RNA is filed under the name uncultured bacterium. RNAcentral's name for it is "partial 16S ribosomal RNA". It matches the Rfam family "Bacterial small subunit ribosomal RNA", at positions 338 to 795 of the family's 1533-position model. The record is from RNAcentral.
CCUACGGGGGGCUGCAGUGAGGAAUAUUGCGCAAUGGGGGAAACCCUGACGCAGCAACGCCGCGUGAGUGAGGAAGGUUUUCGGACCGUAAAGCUCUGUCGAGCGGGAAGAAGUGCAUGGUGGCUAAUAUCCAUUAUGCUUGACGGUACCGCUAAGGAAGCACCGGCUAACUCCGUGCCAGCAGCCGCGGUAAUACGGGGGGUGCUAGCGUUGUUCGGAAUCAUUGGGCGCGGCGAGCGAGGUCAGGGCUGAAAGCCCUGGGCUUAACCUAGGAAGUGCAUUUGAAACUGUUCAGCUUGAGUAAGGGAGAGGAAAGUGGAAUUCCUGGUGUAGAGGUGAAAUUCGUAGAUAUCAGGAGGAACACCGGUGGCGAAGGCGACUUUCUGGCCCUAUACUGACGCUGAGACGCGAGAGCGUGGGUAGCAAACAGGAUUAGAUACCCCAGUAGUC